CACCACUGAUUUUUAGAUAAAUUGCCACUAAUAACACUUUAGGGACAAGCCACCACAUAUGUAGAUAUACUGCCAUUACAACACUUUGUGGACAAGCCACCACUAAUUUACAGAUAAACUGCCACAUACUUCCACCUUUCAUAAAACCAACCCAUCUGUGUGAUAUGGCAAUUUCGGUUUUUAAUACAUAUGAAUCACUUUUACACUUAGGCAUGUGAACAUGCUCACAUACUCACAUAUCACUUAAUAAUCACUUUUAAUCACUUUCACAUGCUUUAGCAUGCUUUUUACAUUAGAUCAUAGAUUUCAAUAAUAACAUACACAUAUAUAGAUAUCACAUAUUAAAAUCAUCAAACAUAUCACAUAAGCCAUGCAUCACAUAUCUUUGUCAAAGUUAUAAUCACAUCAUAUUUCAUGCAUUUCAUAGAAUUACUCAGUUAGAGUCAUUU
RNAcentral lists this long non-coding RNA (449 nucleotides) under Gossypium raimondii (Peruvian cotton). RNAcentral describes it as "long non-coding RNA (GRAI_LNC007451)". Lineage: Eukaryota; Viridiplantae; Streptophyta; Magnoliopsida; Malvales; Malvaceae. The record is from RNAcentral.